This 3116-nucleotide long non-coding RNA is filed under the name Trifolium pratense (red clover). Its description in RNAcentral is "long non-coding RNA (TPRA_LNC001146)". The record is from RNAcentral. Lineage: Eukaryota; Viridiplantae; Streptophyta; Magnoliopsida; Fabales; Fabaceae.
UCUCAUUGGCAUUAGGCUGUGAGAGAAUUCAGUUUCCAUUCUUGGUUCUACCAUUUGACAGCAUAGAAUACCAUAUUUAUUGACAGCAUUAACCAUAUAAAGUCCUAAUUCUAGGGGAUUUGAGUCCCCACAUUCUCCAAAUGUUGAUAAAGGUGACAAUUUUAUUCCAACUCUUUCUGCACCUAUCUCAUUUGCAACAGCUUCAACAAUUUCCAAAGUAAAUCGACAACGGUUCUCAAGGGAUCCACCAUAUUCAUCUGUUCUGUCAUUUGCUUUAUCUUUCAUGAAUUGCUCAAGAAGAUAGCCAUGAGCUGCGUUGAUCUGAACGCCGUCAAAACCUACAAUUUGCACCACAACAAGUAUCUAAAAUGUCCUAUUCGACGUUAAGUGUUUGAAUCAACAAAUUUGAUGACAAUUUUUUUUCCGUCUUUAAUUUUCGUCGUCAUUGGCUUAUUUCUACUAUAUCAAUAUUCUACUGUCUCUUAUAUUCAAGCAUUUUGGAGAGAUUUGUAUAUAUCAAUGAAGUAAUUACCAGCUUCGAUGGCAUUUCUUGCAGCAAGUCUAAAGUCAUUGACAAUAUUAGGAAUUUCUUCUGUCCUUAGCCUCCUUGGUGGUGUGAACUGUGAUAUUACAACACCAUCACCUCCAAUUUGUGGUGUGAGUAGCUUGUCUGUAGAAGAUAUUGGUGCUUGCCCAUUUGGUUGAUAAACUGUUUGAUAAAUAGUAAGGAAAAUGGGCAUAUAAAAUAAAAAUAAAAAUCAUGUGUAUAAACAAAUGUAUAUGAUAGUAUGGAAAAUGGGCAUAAGAUACAUCAUACAUUGAGUGUGCAUGCAUGUCAUGUUAUAACAAAUAUAUACAUAUACCAGAAUCAGAAACUCUUCCAACAUGCCAAAUUUGACAGAAGAAUGUGCCGCCUUUGGCAUGAACAGCGUCCACGAUGGGUUUCCACGCUUCAACUUGCUCUUUUGUCCAUAUGCCAGGUGUGUGUGGAUACCUUCAUUACAAUUAGUCGAAGAUAGUUAUAGAAUUGGUUACUAUAUUAAAUUAUUAAUUGCAAGUUAGUUCAGAUCAGUUAGAUUAAUAGGGAUUACUUUGCAGUAAUUCGCUGCGAUUCUGUUAAAUUGACCGCAAAUUUAAAUAUGCACUAACUACUACUAAGUAAUAUUAGUUGGCAUGAUGCAUCGAUCAGUUCGAGUUGAAGCAAAUUAAGCAUGAAGAGUGAGCAAUGAAUGAAAGGAAAAAAGUGUUACCCUUGAGCAGUUUCAGAGACGCCAGUAGCUUCAGAUAUGAGAAGACCUCCAUUAGAGGUCCUUUGAGAGUAAUAGAGAACAGCAUGAGGUUGAGGAACGUUGUUGUAGGAUCGUUGUCUAGUCAACGAUGCCAAAACUACUCUAAAAUUAAAUUAUUACAUACACAAACACAAACAUAGGAUGAGUGAGUAUUUUAAGCAAUUUUAAUUCGGAAGCAAGGAAUGAAAGCAUAGUAAACAUACCUAUGAGCCAGAUUAAAUUUGCCCAUCUUGUAAGGAGUAAGAAGAGAACUGGGAUCACCAGCCAUAAUUAUAAACUAAUACUACUGAUUAGAAAUGUAAUAAUAAUGAGGAAAAUAUACACUUUACUAUGAAGUUGAAGUUGGUAUUUAUUUUAGACUAAAACUGAAAAGUGGUGGGUGGGGGGGACCUUUAUGCUUGUUUGCUAUUGCGUUAGGUGAAUGAUGUUUACAAUACAUUACAUAUUUUAUGCCUUCUGCAUUAAGGUAUGUCCUGCAUCAGGGCAAGUAAUUUGUGCGUACAUAGCUUCACCCAAAUCUAAAUCCCAAAUCCUAAUUUAUGCCUUCUUCAAAGUUUCUUUGGGUGAAAAAUUACACAUGCAUUUUAGGGAGUAUCCGAGUAUAUGCAAAUAUUUGUCUUUAUAGUUAUUUUGAGUGAUAUUAGUUCUUAACUUUUUUCUUUGUGUACAAAAAGAUCCUAUCAGUAUCUUUAUAGUUUUAAAAAAGUUUAACUAGUAAUUUUGAUCUAGUAUAUGAUUAGUAUAACUUUUUGAGGAUCACACUUUCUUUUCUAAAAUUCUAACUCAUAUUCAAAACAUAGUGAAAAAAACAGUUCUGGAUACUAAAAUAGUCCUAGCAAAGAAGUAUGAUAAGAAUUAAUAUAAAAAUAGAUAAGCAUCACAAUUCUUAUUUUAAUGACCAAAUUUUUCUUACAAGUUCCCUUCGCAGGAACUAAUACUAUUCAAGACACAGUCAGACACUAAAUAUGAGUAUUGUUCUGGUACCAACUUUAUCACAAAAUGUGUUGGAUGCUAAAACAUCAUUCAAGAAAAGGAUAGUCAGUAUAACCAAGAACUGGAUCAUGACUAUAGAAUGUCUCCCUGUAAUACUUAUUUAGAGGAGCAUUAAGUGCAAAUCUCUUCGGCAAAUCUGGAUUAGAUAUGAAAUAACGACCAUAAGCAAUAAGGUCUGCUCUAUUCUCAGCAAUAGCAUUGAUCCCAUCUUGUCUACCAUAACCUCCUGUAACCAUGAAAGUGCCAUUGAAAGCCUUUCUCAUUGGUAUUAGGCUGUGAGAGCAUUCAGUUUCCAGUCUUGGUUCUACCAUUUGACAGUAUAGAACACCAUAUUUAUUGACAGCAUUAACCAUAUAAAGUCCUAAUUCUAGGGGAUUUGAGUCCCCACAUUCUCCAAAUGUUGAAAAAGGUGACAAUUUUAUACCAACUCUUUCCGCACCUAUCUCAUUUGCAACAGCUUCAACAAUUUCCAAAGUAAAUCGACAACGGUUCUCAAGGGAUCCACCAUAUUCAUCUGUUCUGUCAUUUGCUUUAUCUUUCAUGAAUUGCUCAAGAAGAUAGCCAUGAGCCCCGUGGAUCUCAACCCCGUCAAAACCUACAAUUUCACCACACCAAGUAUCUAAAAUGUCCUACUAUUAGAAAAAGUUGAAAUAGUGACAAUGACUGAAAAAUGUGAAAUACACCUUUAAUUUCGAUGUUAAGUGUCUGAGACAACAAAUAUGAUGAUAAUUUUUUUUUCCGUCUCCAAUUUUUGUCAUCAUUGACUUACUUCGAUUAUCAUUACUCUAGUGUCUCUUAUAUUGAAGCAUAUGGAUUAAAGAUUGGUAAAUGUUA